CGCCCCCGCGCAGCCCUCCAGGACUGCUUUCAGCACCCGAGUUCCCGCUCCCUGUGGCCACUGUCUCCGCGCCGUUCCAUAACCUGGGGUCUCGACUCUUCCCGCCUCCGCCCGCCGUCCUCGGACUCAGCCUCCCGGCGCAGAGAGCUUUGAAGACAAGCGGUGGAAUUAGCUGGUUGGGGACAGUUAAUAAGAAACCUCUAGCUUCUGCUCUCCAGUUACCUCCUAGGAUGUCCGGGAAGGAGACCCUCUUACCUGCCGCCUAAGACCCCCAAAAGGUGUCCUGGCCGGACAGUGGGGGAGGGCAGCAGAGAACAGCCCAUCCUUUCCUGUUAGCUCCCAAGCCUUUCAGCAUUUACUUCUACUCUCACCAGCCUGGCUUCAGUGCUCUGGAAAUGUGCCCUGGCCUUCCACACCAGGCUCUCUGGAGACCCCACUGAGAAUGUGUUCUCUUCUACUCCCACCCUAUCGACACGGUCCCAGUGCUUCCCUACUCUCUAGCAGGAUACCAGAUGGCGCCAGGACAACCAUAUCUCCUGAUAACUCCUAACCCUGACUGCCAGUUUGUGGAGACAAAUGAAGAUAACUAUACAUAAGGGGCCUGGUACAGGAACUGCACAUAGAAGACACCCCCCAUUCCUCAAAUUUUUUAAUAAAAAAUAUUAAAAAUAUAGUAUAUUAUAUGUACUUACAUAAUUUUGAGGCCCUAAACCAAAAGAAAUACAGUGAAGAAUCAAACAAAACAAAUCGACUCAGGUUCUAGGGGA
RNAcentral lists this long non-coding RNA (767 nucleotides) under Equus caballus (horse). RNAcentral describes it as "lncRNA (ENSECAG00000058460.1)". Lineage: Eukaryota; Metazoa; Chordata; Mammalia; Perissodactyla; Equidae. The record is from RNAcentral.